Molecule: ribosomal RNA, 459 nt
Filed under: uncultured bacterium
Lineage: Bacteria
Description: partial 16S ribosomal RNA
Rfam family: Bacterial small subunit ribosomal RNA
Source: RNAcentral
GAUGAACGCUGGCGGCGCGCCUAACACAUGCAAGUCGAACGGCACCCCUCCUCGGAGGGAAGCGAGUGGCGAACGGCUGAGUAACACGUGGAGAACCUGCCCCCUCCCCCGGGAUAGCCGCCCGAAAGGACGGGUAAUACCGGAUACCCCGGGGUGCCGCAUGGCACCCCGGCUAAAGCCCCGACGGGAGGGGAUGGCUCCGCGGCCCAUCAGGUAGACGGCGGGGUGACGGCCCACCGUGCCGACAACGGGUAGCCGGGUUGAGAGACCGGCCGGCCAGAUUGGGACUGAGACACGGCCCAGACUCCUACGGGAGGCAGCAGUGGGGAAUCUUGCGCAAUGGGGGGAACCCUGACGCAGCGACGCCGCGUGCGGGACGGAGGCCUUCGGGUCGUAAACCGCUUUCAGCAGGGAAGAGUCAAGACUGUACCUGCAGAAGAAGCCCCGGCUAACUACGUG